Molecule: transfer RNA, 87 nt
Filed under: Desulfitobacterium dehalogenans
Lineage: Bacteria; Bacillati; Bacillota; Clostridia; Eubacteriales; Desulfitobacteriaceae
Also listed under: 2 other names
Description: tRNA-Leu
Rfam family: tRNA
About the family: Transfer RNA (tRNA) molecules are approximately 80 nucleotides in length. Their secondary structure includes four short double-helical elements and three loops (D, anti-codon, and T loops). Further hydrogen bonds mediate the characteristic L-shaped molecular structure. tRNAs have two regions of fundamental functional importance: the anti-codon, which is responsible for specific mRNA codon recognition, and the 3' end, to which the tRNAs corresponding amino acid is attached (by aminoacyl-tRNA synthetases). tRNAs cope with the degeneracy of the genetic code in two manners: having more than one tRNA (with a specific anti-codon) for a particular amino acid; and 'wobble' base-pairing, i.e. permitting non-standard base-pairing at the 3rd anti-codon position.
Source: RNAcentral
GCGAGUGUGGCGGAACAGGCAGACGCGACGGUCUCAAAAACCGUUAUCUUUACGGAUGUGUCGGUUCGAUUCCGACCACUCGCACCA